This 473-nucleotide ribosomal RNA is filed under the name Escherichia coli. Its description in RNAcentral is "bacterial SSU rRNA". It matches the Rfam family "Bacterial small subunit ribosomal RNA", at positions 1 to 470 of the family's 1533-position model. The record is from RNAcentral. Lineage: Bacteria; Pseudomonadati; Pseudomonadota; Gammaproteobacteria; Enterobacterales; Enterobacteriaceae.
AAAUUGAAGAGUUUGAUCAUGGCUCAGAUUGAACGCUGGCGGCAGGCCUAACACAUGCAAGUCGAACGGUAACAGGAAUCAGCUUGCUGAUUCGCUGACGAGUGGCGGACGGGUGAGUAAUGUCUGGGAAACUGCCUGAUGGAGGGGGAUAACUACUGGAAACGGUAGCUAAUACCGCAUAACGUCGCAAGACCAAAGAGGGGGACCUUCGGGCCUCUUGCCAUCGGAUGUGCCCAGAUGGGAUUAGCUAGUAGGUGGGGUAACGGCUCACCUAGGCGACGAUCCCUAGCUGGUCUGAGAGGAUGACCAGCCACACUGGAACUGAGACACGGUCCAGACUCCUACGGGAGGCAGCAGUGGGGAAUAUUGCACAAUGGGCGCAAGCCUGAUGUAGCCAUGCCGCGUGUAUGAAGAAGGCCUUCGGGUUGUAAAGUACUUUCAGCGGGGAGGAAGGGAGUAAAGUUAAUACCUUU